UGCUGAGAACAGAAGCAAUGACAGCUGACUGAGCACGAAUACCGUAAAAGUCUCAUUGAUAUUAUUUUGUUCCAAGGAAGACCUGGCACAGACAGCAACAGAAGUUACUAAGCGUGUCUUUGUCCUGUCUUCUUCCCCUCACCCCAACCCCAGCCUGGUUCUGCAGGAGGUUCCUUCCUGUUUAAAGGAAGUUUUUCCUUCCCACUGUCACCGAGUGGUUGUUCAAAGGUGGUUUGAUUGUUGUGGUUUUAUCUCUAUUAUUGUAGGAUCAUUAUCUUAAAAUUUAAAGUGCCUUGAAUUGAACUGAAUUGUGCUACAUAUAACUUUUGAUCCAAAACAAGAAAGCAAGGUAUGGGCUCCGUAGAGUCUAUAUUAAGUUGACUUCUGUUGCUGUAGGCAGUGAGAGUCCCAUUUCCUCAUCUGCAAGCUCAGGUUGGUGAAUUAGAGCACUCUUUAGCUGGCAACCUGGUCUAGCUCAGUGGUUCUCAAAGGUUUUUUGUUACAAGGCAUCAUCUGUGGAAACAAAUAUUUCUAGGGCAUAGCUUUAU
Molecule: long non-coding RNA, 548 nt
Organism: Oreochromis aureus
Lineage: Eukaryota; Metazoa; Chordata; Actinopteri; Cichliformes; Cichlidae
Exons: 3
Source: RefSeq, a predicted model, not a curated record